GGGCGUCUAGCUCAGUUGGUAGAGCGCGUCAUUAGCAUUCAUCUGCUAGCAUUGACGAGGUCUUUGGUUCGAUUCCUAAGUCGUCCA
This is a transfer RNA of Trichosporon asahii var. asahii CBS 8904, 87 nucleotides long. It matches the Rfam family "tRNA". From Rfam's summary of the family: Transfer RNA (tRNA) molecules are approximately 80 nucleotides in length. NCBI's taxonomy places the organism in Eukaryota, Fungi, Basidiomycota, Tremellomycetes, Trichosporonales, Trichosporonaceae. The record is from Rfam.